Molecule: ribosomal RNA, 497 nt
Filed under: uncultured bacterium
Lineage: Bacteria
Description: partial 16S ribosomal RNA
Rfam family: Bacterial small subunit ribosomal RNA
Source: RNAcentral
GAUGAACGCUGGCGGCGUGCCUAAUACAUGCAAGUCGAGCGAACAGACGAGGAGCUUGCUCCUCUGACGUUAGCGGCGGACGGGUGAGUAACACGUGGAUAACCUACCUAUAAGACUGGGAUAACUUCGGGAAACCGGCGCUAAUACCGGAUAAUAUAUUGAACCGCAUGGUUCAAUAGUGAAAGACGGUUUUGCUGUCACUUAUAGAUGGAUCCGCGCCGCAUUAGCUAGUUGGGAGGGUAACGGCUUACCAAGGCAACGAUGCGUAGCCGACCUGAGAGGGUGAUCGGCCACACUGGAACUGAGACACGGUCCAGACGCCUACGGGAGGCAGCAGUAGGGAAUCGUCCGCAGUGGGCGAAAGCCUGACGGAGCAACGCCGCGUGAGUGAUGAAGAUCUUCCGAGCGUAAAACUCUGUUAUUAGUGAAGAACAGAUGUGUAAGUAACUAUACACGGCUUGACGGUACCGAAUCAGAAAGCCACGGCUAACUACGUG